GAGGUCUUAAGACCUUUGGGGCCACAUGGGCAAAGCAAAACAUUUGAAGGCAGAUGGACCCAACGAGACGCCGUAGUUUACGUCCACAGCAGGCGAGGCCAAGGCUAGGCGCUGGCGGCCGCCUGCAGGAAGGUCUCCAGGCCAUGGACUCGCGGCUACCAAAUACUGAAGGGCCCAGGAAGGAUCCGUGGCAGCCCGGGCCUGAGAUGAGUUUAGAGUCCUUGUUUCAGCACAUCAUCUUCUCGGAGCAUCAGGCAGAGGAGAGUCGCCGCUUGAUCCGAGAAGUAAGGUCGGAAAUUAACAGAUGUCGUGAAGACAUUAAGAAAGCAACUGAGAUGCUGAAUGAAGAGAAAAUCAAGUUGGAAUCCAAGGUUCAGCAAUUUUCUGAAAACACUUUCCUCUUACAGCUUUGGAAGAUUCAUGAAAAUGCCUUAGAAAGACAGUAUAGUGAAAUUAUAAACCAGAGGAAUAUGCUUCUCCAAACCUUUGAGGCUACAAAGAAAAAAGUGAUAGAAGAGGAGGAAAAAUUUAUUAAGGAAAUUACAGACUUCAAUAAUGAGUAUGAAGUAACAAAGAAAAGAGAGCUGUUGAUAAAAGAAAAUGUCCAGAUUGAAAUAUCUGACUUAGAAAACCAGGCAAACAUUUUGAAAAGAGAAAUGAAGACAAUGGAACACAAUAGUGGCCAGUUAAGUGAACUUCAAAAACAAAAGGAUGAAUUAAUACAAGAAUUAUUUACUCUGCAGAGAAAACUUAAAGUUUUUGAAGAUAAAAAGAAUGAAGCCAUUUGUACUACCAAAUACCUAGAGGCAGAAAAAGUAAAAAUCAAUGAAAAGCCUCAAAAUGAUGCUGAAUGCUUAAGACUUAAGAAAGAAUUAGAACUUUGUAAGGAAGACGACAUGCAAAGUGCUUAUGAAGCUCUCCAAACAGAAGUAGAAUUUCUGGAGUUGACAUUGGCACAGAAAGAUCUUCAGGAAAACAAAUAACUUGUGGACAAUUGACCAAAGCUAUUCAAGGUUUGAUCAAAGCACCUUAAAAUCAAAUCCUGUGACGGAUACACGAACAGUGCCCAUUAUAACAGAUUUUUGUGGAAAACGUGAGGUUCUGAAUGUUCAAAGUUGUUGAUAUCUAGAAUUGGCAUAUUACCAUUUUUAAAAUGUAAUGUCUUGUUACUUGCUGGAACUUUAAAGCUUCUUAUGGGAUUUGAUUUUGUUUCUAAAGGAAGAAAAAGGGACAGGUGGAUAUUGUGCUCUCCGCUUCUUAUCUCUCCUGACCCUUAAGCUGAUCUGUACUUUGUGAUGUUCAUUCUUUAUUGCGGUUUACCUUGGGUCUGGUCAAACACCGGUGGGGAGAAACGAUCAGAUUAUUGAUCCCAUUUUGUCGGUGCCAUUUCCCUCAACAAAGAUGCUCACUUUCAUUUUAAUCCUGCUCUAAUCUUUAAAAUGUCUGUUGACAGAAGUCUUCUGAGGCCUUUCAUCUGCAAAAGCCAGUUUUCUCCCCUUUUCUCUAGAUAUUUUUGUAGAGUUAAGUCUGGGGCUCCCGCGGCCGUUUCCCAGCGUUUUGUGCCUGCUGUCCUCUUCCCAGUGCCGGUGUUGGUUAGAAUGAAAUGCAGAGAGAAGUUAACCAGGUACCAGGGCUGUUUAAACUGCCUCUUCUCCAAUGGUGGCCACUGCUUCCUCCUUCCCAGCAAGUGGAGUUCUGGAGGUCAGAAGUGUGACGUGGGCCUCACUGGACUGAAAGCGAGAUGUCAGAGCUGCGUUCCUUCGGAGGCUCUAGGGUAGGAUGUAUAGAACGCUUGCCUUUUCUAGCUUCUGGGGGCCGCUUACAUUCUGUGGCACAUGACCCCUUCCUGCACCUUACUCCAGCCAGCCCAGGAAGCCACGUCCUUCUCACGUUGAGUCUCCCUGGUUUCCCUCUUGUGCCCUUCUCUUCAGCUUACAAGGACCCUUGUGAUUAUGAGGCCCACCUGGACAGUCCGGGCUUGUCUCCCCAUCUCAAGGUCAGCCAGUUUCUCUUUGCCACGUAACUCACCAUAUUCAUAGAUUUUGGAGAUCAGGAUGUGCACGUCUUUGGAAGGGGGCGUUACUCUGCCUAGCACAUCGAUGAAAUGUUUGUGCUCUCUAAAACAGGCUAAGCCGCCUUCUUACCUGUGUGGCACAUUUUGUGUUCAGUUUCUUAGCAAGUCCUUUUAAAUUGAAGGAAAAAUUCAGUAUUAGUUAAUGGCAUUUUACUUUUUAUGAUUCUGUGGCCCAUCUUCUGGCCUGCAAUAAAGUGAAAACAUAAUGUAGUUGAGUGAUUUCCCCCCUCCCAGGCAAGUGGGUCCUGUAGUUCUAUAACAAAGACAUUUCAUGGGCAGUUCUAAGUUAGCAUUUUUUCCUUCAUCUCCUUUUGUCCUAAUUGUUAACAUCUCUGUCUUUCUGAGUUUCUGCCAAAUACGUUUUAAUAAGUUUUUUUCUCUUAUUUUUCACUUCCCUUGUUGCCCACUCUUAUCUUGUUUAUCUGUUUUACUGGAUUACUUUCACGGAUAAUAAAAGAAGUUUGGUCCCCUUUUUA
Molecule: RNA transcript, 2550 nt
Organism: Felis catus (domestic cat)
Lineage: Eukaryota; Metazoa; Chordata; Mammalia; Carnivora; Felidae
Gene: CCDC172
Gene name: coiled-coil domain containing 172
Exons: 11
Source: RefSeq, a predicted model, not a curated record